GCGCGGGCUGGUCACCUGGAGACGUGGUGCCGCUGCGGCAUGACACGGAGCUGUUCGCCUACGGUGGCUGUGGACCUGUGUGUGUUCUCUACCCACCAUGAACUUCCCUUGGACCGGGGGCUGUUGGACUCCGUUGAAGGAGCAGCCCUGCGCCGUGCAGUUGGUGAAGUCGAACAGCUCGCGGACCAGCUCCCGGCACCUGUCUGAGUCGGGCUUCCCCACAAAGCAGCCUCAUGCCGGCGGUGGCCCCCAGGAACAGCGGUGUUUUCUGGCGUUUCUCCACUGGGAUUUCUUCUGUGACCUUCUGCAUGCAUCCCGUGAAGGACGCCCAAGUAUUUUUGUCCUUCUCCGCGUCCACCAAC
Long non-coding RNA from Gadus morhua (Atlantic cod), 362 nucleotides. RefSeq lists it as uncharacterized. The transcript has 3 exons. The record is from RefSeq and is a predicted model, not a curated record. Lineage: Eukaryota; Metazoa; Chordata; Actinopteri; Gadiformes; Gadidae.